Molecule: long non-coding RNA, 2914 nt
Organism: Mercenaria mercenaria
Lineage: Eukaryota; Metazoa; Mollusca; Bivalvia; Venerida; Veneridae
Exons: 2
Source: RefSeq, a predicted model, not a curated record
AUCCGCACCUUGUUUUUCGUGCGUUUCCGUAAAAGACGCGGAAACAUACGAAGAUAACGGUAGGUUUGCGUUUUUUGGUUGCGGAAGAAAUUGGAUUUACAAAUGGAGUUAUAAAUGUUUUAAGGAAAUUUACAGCUAGUUUCGAGUUUCUCGAGUAAGAACUUGGAUUGUAGUAAAGGAGAACUGAAGUAAAACUUGCUUAUCCGUUUAAUCUUCUAUCUAAGCUGUUCAGCCUCGGGUCGCGUGUACUUUUAGCCUGAACACGGAAGUAGAGUGAAUAUGUCAUGAUGUGCCAAAGAAGUACCAGUACUCACAGUAACUCUUUGCCAAAGACUUUGGACGUUCAUAUAACGUGGAAAUCUAGGAAAAAUCAAAUGUUAGAUGUCAGGUCAUCUAAGUGCAAUCAGAUGAUGUUAUUCAACAUGCUGUGGCUGCAUUGAACUAGAAGUCAUUUCAGGAACAGAAUCCAGGGAUCAUAAGAGAAAUGUAUGUAUAGCCAAUGAUGAUGAUACCUGCUGGCCAAUCACUGCCAAAGAAUAACCUAUUCACAGAAAUAUGUCAUCUUUCACACAUAUGGAAUGGAACAUUUUUGCCAAGAUGCUACAUAAACUCUGACACCGAGAAUAUGGCACCUUUCACACAUAUGGAAUGGAAACUUUUUGCCAAGACGCUACAUAAACUCUGACACCGAGAAUAUGGCACCUUUCACACAGUCAUAUGGAAUGGAACAUUUUUGCAAAGACUCAACAUAAACUCUGACACCGAACGUACAUUACGACUAGUAGGACAAUAAUGGUAACAUAAAUUACACCAUGUUAAAAACUCUUGUCUUCGGUAUUGCUGCAGCUGGUCAGAUUUUGGAUUUAAUAAAUGUAUUUCAUGAAGUCACUUACAGGACAGUACCUAUUGUCAAAUUAACUGCGUCAUAUGACAUAAGCCCUGCUAAGUCAUUACUAACACUAAGUCUUGUCAACAAAUAUAUUUAUUGCUUAGACUUUAUGAUUUGAUUUUUGUCGAAAAAUAUGCAUAAUUUCUGCAGCAGAUCCUAGACUAGCGCAAUAUUAUUCUGAGAAAGAACAAAUUCAUAUUUCUGGAUGCAAAGCUAAUUUUCAUUACAAAAAAUUUACAUACACAGAGUUAGAUCUAAUCUUAGAAUUAUUCUGGUAGAUGAAAUAAAUAAGUUCUUUAACCAAAGUAAAAUUGAAAAUUUUGAUAUUAAAAGAUCGAAACAGUGAUGUUACAAAUGACGUCACGUACCCAAUACGAAAAUUGCAUGCCAGUACUGUAAAACCUGCUUAAGCGGUCACCUCUAAUUAGCAGCCAACCUGUCUUAAGCAGCCUGUGUCUCGAUCAUUUCCCAAAAUGGUCAUUUAUUCUAUAAAUUACCUGCAUUAAGCAGCCACCUGCUGUAAACAGCCACUUUUCCCAACACCCUUGGCUGGCUGUUUAAGACAGGUUUUACUGUAUGGAAAAAUGUUGAUGUAUGUAAUUUGCAUUCGCUCGUGCCACUUGGAAGAGUAUAAAUAUGAGUAUGUAAUUCAGGUGUUGAUGUUUUCAAGCUUCUGUUUGAUUUGUCGGUUUGUAAUUUCUUUACUUUUCAAAUAUUACACAUCAUUCUAAAAUUCUUGAGUUGAGGUAGUAGGAACUUUUAUUCUGGAAUUCACUUUUAGACUGGUGUAUCCAGUGCCUGGCUUAUUUUCAUGUUGAAUGAUUCUAUACAGAUAUUUAUGUCGGAACAAUGCUGAAUUACCUGACGAUACUAGUCGACAGCGAUGAAAAUUUCAUCGGAAAUUGCCUCAACUAUUUUGGUCCUUCGAGUGUUUGACGCGAGUGGGGAUAUUGCCCAUAUGAAAAAAUUAUCUCAAUAUUUCCUAGGAUGGCGUCAAAUCAGUUGGACUACUGACUAUAUAUAUAAUCACACGGAAAUGGCAGUCAUUCCGUGUGUACUACAUUAUGACACAGUUGUAAAUGAUGAUGAUUAUUGUUUGAACUUGCUGUAAAAUUGGAGCACUUGCACUUUAGCGGUCCCUAUAAUAAUAGUAGUUUAAUAAUGUCUUAAAUAUUAAAAGUUAAAAGAGGUAACUUUAUUUUGAGAUGAAUAUGUUUGAGGGCUGCCGUCCCCACAUCCCUGCUUUGCCCCACAUCCCCAACUUGCUGCGCAUGCGCAUUGUAAACUUCCGGGGACCACUAAUUUAAAAGUGCAUUCUACCCGUAAAAUAAAUUAUUCUAACACGAUCCGAUUCAUUUUCCUUUUAAAAAAAGAAGACACAAAAUGGUGAAUUAUUAUACAACAAAUCACUGUUCUGACGUCACAGUUAUUAUGUCAUGGCGUCAAACGGCAUAGCGGCGCACUGGAAAAGAAACCGAUUGAAAACGGGCAAAUAUUUAAUGAAUGUUGGCAAGAAUCCUUGGUAACGUGUUAGAAUCGAAAUAAUACAUCUCAAUUAGUGAUUUGCUCUUGAAUAAAUCAUUGUUUGUCGUUCAGAUGCGUAUUAUUAUAUAAUUCGGGCUGCGCCCUCGUGAUAUAAUUCCUUCGCAUCUGAACUCCAAACAAUGAUUUAUUCAACGACAAAUCACUGGAUGAGAUAUAUUAUUUUUUAUUAUAUUCAUUUAUUUCAAAUUUACAACGUUUCACCAAAGAGCUAUAAAAAUAAAUCUGUGUAUUUUAUACUUCUUUGGUUUCACCGAGCACUGGAAUACACCUCGCGGCAAGUGCUGGUUUGACCGCUCUUAGUUGAAUUAAUUUUGUAUUUUAAAUUUGUUUUUAAAGAAAACUCCUGUUAAAAUUUUUUGCUGUUAUAUUCAUUUUUUUUAAAAAUUGUUGUUGUCAAUGUUUUUUAAUCCAGUCUUGAAAUUUGCUCACUGCAGUAGGCUACUGUAUUGUUAUUAUUAGAAAUAAAUUUAUGAAGUGAUA